GACAGGACAUAUGCAAAAUCAUUUUACUGUAGCAAAAACAUGGGAAAGAUGACUUGGAAGAAAGGACACCAGCCAGAGGUUCUGUUUCUUCCACUCACCUGCUGCAAACUGUGGGCUGAUGGACUGCCCCCAGAAGCUAUUUUAAGGACGUUGAGAAGAGACGCAAGAGGGCAGGAUCUAACCAGAAGUCUGGGUGGGCCGGGCAGGCCUCCCAGCAGUGCCCGAACACCACGGAGGAGAGGAUCGCGCUGCCCRGUCUUCCUCUGGUCACCGUCCCCAGCAGCCUCUAGUACCAGACCUCCGGGCUACGCCUGGGAGAGAGCCCUGCCUCCGCCGGAGCGGCGUUCCCCUUGCAGCCCUGCGGAAAGGCUCUUGCUCGUCUGUUACGACAGGAAACGUUUUGAAAUGUGA
This 411-nucleotide long non-coding RNA is filed under the name Dromaius novaehollandiae (emu). Its description in RNAcentral is "lncRNA (ENSDNVG00000016983.1)". The record is from RNAcentral. Lineage: Eukaryota; Metazoa; Chordata; Aves; Casuariiformes; Dromaiidae.